RNAcentral lists this ribosomal RNA (293 nucleotides) under uncultured bacterium. RNAcentral's name for it is "partial 16S ribosomal RNA". It matches the Rfam family "Bacterial small subunit ribosomal RNA", at positions 775 to 1067 of the family's 1533-position model. The record is from RNAcentral.
GGAUUAGAUACCCUGGUAGUCCACGCCGUAAACGAUGAGAACUAGGCGUUGGGGUUUAACCUCAGUGCCGCAGCUAACGCGUUAAGUUCUCCGCCUGGGGAGUACGACCGCAAGGUUAAAACUCAAAUGAAUUGACGGGGACCCGCACAAGUAGUGGAGCAUGUGGUUUAAUUCGAAGAUACGCGCAGAACCUUACCAACACUUGACAUGUUUGUCGCGACUUUAAGAGAUUAAAGUCUUCGGUUCGGCCGGACAAAACACAGGUGCUGCAUGGCUGUCGUCAGCUCGUGUCG